UAACUUAUGGUGAUGGAGUUGAGAGCUGUUCUGCUUGCGAAAAGUGCCCAUGUUAUGUCCCUCAUCAUUUGAUACAGCUGCCGAGAAUCGAAAUACAACCAAAUGAAUGUCAUAGCGAUUGAUUACAUAUUCAGAAAGCUUAACUUGUGCCAUCGUGAUUUCAACUGUGGAAUUUAAUAUAUUCCACAUUCUUAGUAUGGGUCGCUGCAGGAGCUCGUAACGGAGUCCAUAUGCCAAGCUGUUUAUGGAGUUCGUUGUAUAUACCCUUGUAAAAUGCCAGGACAAGCGCUUUUUCUCUGGAAAUUAAGUAUGGGUGAUAUAACUGAUUGUGUUCCGUGAAUUUGAGGAAAUAAUCUUAACUUCUUCACUCAACGGGAGCCAAAACAAACGGCAGAGAGAAGUUCAAACCAUGA
This is a long non-coding RNA of Asparagus officinalis (garden asparagus), 413 nucleotides long. RefSeq lists it as uncharacterized. The record is from RefSeq and is a predicted model, not a curated record. The transcript has 3 exons. NCBI's taxonomy places the organism in Eukaryota, Viridiplantae, Streptophyta, Magnoliopsida, Asparagales, Asparagaceae.